GUGAGGAAUAUUGGGCAAUGGGCGAAAGCCUGACCCAGCCACGCCGCGUGAGUGAUGAAGGCCUUCGGGUUGUAAAGCUCUGUGGGGAGGGAAGAAAAAGCGGGAGAGUAACUGCUCUCGUGUUGACGGUACCUCCUUAGCAAGCACCGGCUAACUCUGUGCCAGCAGCCGCGGUAAUACAGAGGGUGCAAACGUUGCUCGGAAUUACUGGGCGUAAAGCGCGUGUAGGCUGACAUGCAAGUCGGGUGGGAAAUCCCAGGGCUCAACCUUGGCACUGCACUCGAAACUGCACGUCUUGAGUACUGGAGAGGGAAGCGGAAUUCCGGGUGUAGAGGUGAAAUUCGUAGAUAUCCGGAGGAACACCAGUGGCGAAGGCGGCUUCCUGGACUGAUACUGACACUGAGGUGCGAAAGCGUGGGGAGCAAACAGGAUUAGAAACCCCUGUAGUCC
RNAcentral lists this ribosomal RNA (450 nucleotides) under uncultured bacterium. Its description in RNAcentral is "partial 16S ribosomal RNA". It matches the Rfam family "Bacterial small subunit ribosomal RNA", at positions 354 to 796 of the family's 1533-position model. The record is from RNAcentral.